CCCACGGCUCGUCCGCGCCAGUAGACAGCAGCGGUCGGUGGGCGUCUGUGUAUAUUACGUUUCUAACUACUAUGUAGUAGAAAAAGAAUCUCUCCUUUAUUAGAAGUGGAAUUUUGGGCAAAUGCAGGACCACAGCUAUUAUUUAGCACAAGAGCCGACGGAGGGUGAAUGCUUUAAGAAGCCAGACUUAAUAACGGGAGCUACGCAGGCAGAAAUCACGGGAAAACAUCGGUGUGGCUUUUCCCAGAUGGAAGAAGGGUCUAAAGAGGGAAAAAUGUUUUCAAAGCGACGCCGAAGUUGUCUAUUUUCUGCUGGACAGCUACGAGACAAAUCCUGCAACAUCGAUUCCCUUGAAGAGAAAACCUUUGCAAGUCCCAGCUCCAGCAUUAUCUAGCAUUGGGGGUUCUACUGGAACAGACUAAGAUGAGCAUCUUGAUGUCAUUCCAGAAGCCACAGAAAUUCAGGGCCUUGAACAAAGGUAACAUGUACACAUCAUAACUUUUAGCCCUGUAUUGCUUUUCUCCAAAUGUUCAUAAUAUAAACUGUAGUUGGAUGUCAUCAGCAUAGCAAUGGUAAGAUAUUUCUUCAAAACUACCAAUAAUCUUUCCGAGAGGAAGCAUAUACAAACUGAACAGCAGGGGGCCGAGCACAGAACCUUGGGGCCCACCACAGGACAAAGGAGCAGAGUCUGACAUAUAUGUUCCUAUGGACACAGAGAAACUCCUGUCCUAUCCUGAGAUAGGAGGAAAACCAGUCCAGAGCUGAUCCAGUAAUGCCCUCAGUUGUUUUCAGUCUAUCAAUCAGAGUGCAGUGAUCCACAGUAUCAAACGCUGCACUGAGAUCUAAUAGCA
Long non-coding RNA from Micropterus dolomieu (smallmouth bass), 851 nucleotides. RefSeq lists it as uncharacterized. The record is from RefSeq and is a predicted model, not a curated record. The transcript has 3 exons. Lineage: Eukaryota; Metazoa; Chordata; Actinopteri; Centrarchiformes; Centrarchidae.